This 67-nucleotide transfer RNA is filed under the name Yezoterpnosia vacua. Its description in RNAcentral is "tRNA-Leu". The record is from RNAcentral. Lineage: Eukaryota; Metazoa; Arthropoda; Insecta; Hemiptera; Cicadidae.
AUUACUUUAACAAAAAAAGUGUAUUAAAUUUAGAAUUUAAAAAUGUAAUAUUAAAUUACAAGUAAUA